UUCCGGUUGAUCCCGCCGGAGGCUACCGCUAUUGGAGUUCGAUUAAGCCAUGCGAGUCGCGAGAAAUUAGAUUCUCGGCGUACCACUCAGUAACACGUGGGUAACCUGCCCUAUGCUGGAUAAUAACCUCGGGAAACUGAGAAUAAUGAUCCAUAGUUCACUACGCCUGGAACGGUGAGUGGAUGAAAGCUCCGGCGGCAUAGGAUGGGCCUGCGGCGUAUCAGGUUGUAGGGGGUGUAACGUACCCUCUAGCCCUCUACGCGUACGGGUGUUGGGAGACAUAGCCCGGAGAUGGAUUCUGAGACACGAAUCCAGACCCUACGGGGUGCAGCAGGCGCGAAAACUUGGCAAUGCGAGAAAUCGUGACCAGGGAACUCCAAGUGCAUGGGGUAAGACCCAUGCUUUUCUUGACUCUAAAUAGGUCUUGGAAUAAGGGGUGGGUAAGGACGGUGCCAGCCGCCGCGGUAAUACCGGCGCCUCAAGUGGUAGUCGCUUUUAUUGGGCCUAAAACGUCCGUAGCCGGUCUGAUACAUUCGUGGGUAAAUCAACCAGCUUAACUGGUUGAAUUCUGCGAGGACGGUCAGACUUGGGACCGGGAGAGGUGUGGGGUACGCUCAGGGUAGGGGUAAAAUCCUGUCAUCCUGAGCGGACCACCUGUUGCGAAGGCGCCACACUAGAACGGAUCCGACGGUCAGGGACGAAGCCUAGGGGCACGAACCGGAUUAGAUACCCGGGUAGUCCUAGGUGUAAACGCUGUGGACUUGAUGUUGGGGGUGCUCCGAGCACUCUCAGUGUCGAAGCGAAGGUGAUAAGUCCACUGCCUGGGAAGUACGGUCGCAAGGCUGAAACUUAAAGGAAUUGGCGGGGGAGCACCGCAACCUGAGGAUUGUGCGGUUUAAUUGGAGUCAACGCCGGA
This 916-nucleotide ribosomal RNA is filed under the name uncultured marine archaeon. RNAcentral describes it as "bacterial SSU rRNA". It matches the Rfam family "Archaeal small subunit ribosomal RNA", at positions 1 to 922 of the family's 1478-position model. The record is from RNAcentral.